This 17010-nucleotide long non-coding RNA is filed under the name Theobroma cacao (cacao). Its description in RNAcentral is "long non-coding RNA (TCAC_LNC005718)". Lineage: Eukaryota; Viridiplantae; Streptophyta; Magnoliopsida; Malvales; Malvaceae. The record is from RNAcentral.
GGAAAAGAUACAAAAUUAGGACAGUCGAAUAUAUUUAUAGAAUGGAGAGAUGGGAGAUGCUGGUGAGGUCCCUCUAAUGCAGAAAACGACUUGAUGUUUGUACAAAGCGAGAAGUUCAAGCUAUUUAGGUUAGGAAAAGAGCCUAAUGAGAAUGAUUCUAGUGAAUCAAGGGCAUUCAACACGUUCAAAUUUUGUAGAGAUGUGCACAAGAGGAUUCUAGAAAAAUCAAACUCACCGCAGUUAUUAAUCAUCAAUCUCUUCAAGGAAACAGGUAGACGACCUUCAGGAAGGGACUUAAGAGAAGCACAACUUCCAAUAGACAAUCCUUCAAGACGAGUGCAGUGCUGCAGCAUCAGCUCCAGUGAGGAAUCUUGGACACUGCAAUUUUCAACUGCUAAAUUUUGCAGCUCUGUUGGUAGUGCCUGCAGCUGCAUUUUAUCACAAUUCACUAAUUUCAGUUCAUGCAUGUCAGGCGCCCUCGAGAGAGCACUACCAAGCGUCUCACAAUUUUCAAUCCUAAAUUUCCUUAGAAGAGGAAGUGUUUUAGGCAGAUCUCCCUUCAGCUUGGGACAAUCUAUUAUGUACAGUUCUUGCAGACUACAGAAAGUUCCAUUUUCAUCUCCCAAACACAACCAUUUUUUCCACUCCGGCAUGUUCUCGAACCUCAGUAUUUCAAGUGAGUCAAAGGACUUCAUACUAGAACCAUUCCCAUAGAACUCAGAACCUACUGCAGUUACUCGAGGAAAUCCUCUGAGAGACAGGUUCUUCAAAGACCGUAGAUGUCCAAGUGCUGGCAAGGACAAGCAAUGCUCACAAUUGCCCAAUUCCAAGGAUACAAUUUUUGAAAAGGAAUGAUCUCCCACCCAUUCUGGAAAUUGUGUACCCCCAUAAUAGAAAAUUUUGAGGUGUUCCAGAUCUGGAGAAGGCUGUAGUUGCUCAAGUACAUUUCUUUGAUGAUCCAAGUCUUCAUGAGGCACACACUUAGGUACUUCUACCUCUCUUUCCAUGAACAAAGGCACAACAAACAUAUCCUUAGAAUAAUCUUCAAUUUCAUCUCCCCAACUCAACACUAACCCCUGCAGUUUCUUCUUACCCUUCAAAUCGGCCUUCAAAGCAUCUCCAGAACAACCAACAUUUUGCAAAUUCAAAAUGGAAAGGGUUCCGUGAAGAUGUUGGAGCUCCCCUAACUCACUGAUGCUGGACCCACUGUGUUUGCCUACAACAAAUGUAGUUAACUUGUGCAAAUCUUUUAGUUUGCCCAUAUGUGCUGGCAUCUGUUUCAACUUUGUGCCUCUAAGAUCAAGAUGUUGCAAAUUGAUUAACCUUCCCAAUUUGGUAGGCAACUCAACAAGGUCGCAGCAAUAGGAUAGUAAUAGAAUUUGCAAAUGAAACAAAUGACUCACUGAUUCAGGCAAUUUUUUUAUGUAAGUAUAAGAGAGAUCAAGAUAACGUAGUAGUUUCAAAUUGCCAAUCGAAUUCUGCAACAUGUGGAUAUUCCAAUAAGAAGAUAAAGAGAGCACUCUUAAGCACCCCAACUUGGGCAGCAAAUCAUGCGUUAUAAUGUCACUAACAUACCUGUUCAGCCAAUUCCACGGACCUCUGUCUACAGGCAGAAAAGUUCGUAAAUGCUUGGCUUCAUUCAAGGCCUCAAAUUUUUUAGAUGUAUCAUAUCUUUUCACCAGAUAAGAGAAAUGACGAGUCUUUUCAUUAAUUUCACAAGAGCCAUCAUCCUCUAACCUUGCAAAAAAUUUCCCCGAUACACUUUCAGCCAAGUCAUGCAUUAGGUCAUGCAUAACAAACCUUGUUCCUGAAAAACCAAUUGAUCGCUGAAAAAAUGACCUUGACGCAAGCUCAUCAAAGUAGUAAGCACCUACCUCUUCCAACAUCUUACCAUUUCCUUUGGUGCCGUCUAAUAAGCCUUCUCCCAUCCACAAUAGAACUAAUUUUUCCCUUUGGAAUUCAUAAUCCUUGGGGAAAAGUGAACAGAAUGCAAAGCAUGGUUUUAGAUACGAAGAAAGAUAGUGAUAACUCAACCUUAGGGCUGGAAGAAUGUCACUUUCAUCAUCUGAAAACUCCCAAAUAUCAUUCUUCAAUAUCUUUUCCCAUUCCCUGGCAUCAACUUUCAUGCGUAACAGACCCCCAAGGGUUUUUAUGGCUAAAGGUAGGCCUUUGCACUUUUUCACAAUUUCUCUACCCAUGGCUUCUAAUUCAGGAUGAAUAGUGGUAUUUCCACUACCGCUGCACACAUGCUUGAUGAAUAAGGACCAGCAAUCUUUCUCCGAUAACAGCUUUAGAUUAUAACUUGACGUUGUAGUUCUCAUGACAGAUGCAACACCUUCGUCACGAGUUGUCACGAUGAUCUUACUACCCUCUGCCGCAGACUUAAGAGGGCGUUUCAGUGCUUCCCAAUCAUCAUAUUUCUUGUUCCAAACAUCAUCUAGAACAAGAAGAAAUUUCCUUCCCUGAAGUCUCUCCUUUAAAUGAAUCUGGAGCUGAUUAAGGUCCUUUAUAUCACAAGUAGCGGAAGUGAGCCCUUCAAUGAUGAUUCUUGUUAACCUGUACAUAUCAAAUUCUUCUGUGACACAUACCCAUACUUUGAGCUCAAACCACUCUCUCACUGUGCUGUCAUUGUAGACAAGCUGAGCAAGAGUGGUCUUUCCAAGCCCACCCAUGCCCACAAUAGUAAUCACUCCUAACUCAUGGCAACUUGCAUCAUCUGAAAGCAGCAUCUUAAUUAGAGCUUCUCUAUCAUCAGUCCUACCAUACACUUCAGAUUCAUCUACCAAAGAGGUGGUUGGUAAUUUUGGUGAUGGUUUUUUUCCGACAUCAUUUCUCAGGCCAAGGGUAUCAGUUUGCUUUGCAAUGUCAUCUAGCCUGUUAAGGAUCGCUUCCAACUUUCGCUCCAUCCUCUUAGUAAAUGGAUUAGGAAAAGAGAAACAGUUCCUUACCAGAGGUGUACAGCUAGUUUGAGGUUCUUCUUUCAGCUUGCGUGACAAAGUGAACGAUUCAAUCUCCUCCAAUAGGUCCUCUGCAUCAUAGACAGCAUCUUUAAGCUCAUCGAGCCACUCUUGCACAGCCCGAUUUUUCAUCUGCUUUUCCUCUGCAUCAAUCAGCACUGCCUGAACAGGCAACAGGGUUCUCUUCAGUUUGUGCAGCAGUUCAUCAUUGAGUUGUCUAUUGCUGAAGAAGUUCAAAACCUCACGAGAUGCCAUUCUUUCCAACAACACCUGAAGGAAAGUAGACAGAAAUGCUCCUCCUACCAAUUCAGCCAUAGUUUCUUCUUUGGUAUGGAAGUGAUUGUGAUGAGAAGGUGAAAGCAAAUGCAAUCGAUGGGGAAGAAAGGGGAAAACUUAUGAUCAGGUUCUGUUGCUCAAAGUCCCUGGUGUGUUGUGGAAGGAUACACAAACUUCAACUGAUUUUUCAAAUUGAAAGCUAAAAAAUUAUUUCCAACAAGAUUAGACAUGGCAUAUUAUUUGCAAGGAGUGGGCCACAGAACUUUAUUUGCUUUCGGUGCAUGGGAUUAAAAAUAAACACAUGCAAAAAAUUCAUGAGAUAUACAAACAUACCCAAAAAAUUCGAUGAAGUUUAGAUUAAAAAUAAUAUUUCAAUUUAAUUAAAUCUCAUAGCCUUGCUUUUGUAAUGUUGGGAAUAUCAUUAGCUUUGAUCCUUAAAAUCUUAAUUUCAAACUUCGAAGUAGGUUCCUUUAAUUAUAAACACAUUUCACUGCAUCCAAAUAGAAAUUAACCCACUUUAUUAAACUUCAAUGCUUUUUUCAUUAUUAAAAAGGACCAGUAAUAAAAAUGACCUCAAGAUAAAUAAGUAAAUGUUGAGAGGAUCUGUCUUCAUUAUUAAAAGAAAAGAAAAGUUAAACAUGGAAUAGUUUUUGGUGUUAGGUUUGCUCUUCAAAUAAUGGUGGUUGAGAGCCCAGAAAUGACAAGAAAAUGAGAACAUGGAGCUCUCAUCUUUUCCAUCAGAUAAGACAUUUAAUAUUCAGUCCAAGGAGUGGACCACAGAACUUUAUCUGUGCAAAUACAUCUGUCUGUCUUCGAUGAGGAGCUGUAUUGGAAGGUUCUGAGUGGAUGGUCUAUGAAUGGACACAGAAGGGCGACCAACUAUAAUGGCGCUUGGUGAGGAAAUUGAUUUCAGGUUCAGUGCAAUUUGCUUUUGGUUUUCUUGUCAAUUUCACUAGAGUGGUGCCCCGUUAUGCGUGGGUGUAUUUUUAAUAAAAAAUAAUUUAGAAUUACAUAACAUCAUAAAUAAAAAUAAUAAUAGCAAAAAGAGGGUAAUUUUAAUUUCGAAAAAUUAUAAAUAAUAAUAAUAAUAAUAAUAAAUUAAAAAUAAUUAUUUUAAAAUAUCAAUAUUUUAAAAAUAUUUUCUUAUAUCUUAUCAAGCAAAUUUUUUUAUUUAAAUAAUUUUUAAUUGUUAAUUUUUAAAAACNUUUAAUAUAUGUUAUAUUAAUAUAAUCAUAUUUUGUUAAUUACGAUGAUUCUAAUAGAGAAAUUAAAUUAAAAUUAAGAAAAUUUAAUAUAUUGAAAGUCAUUAUUCAUAAACUACAUAAUUUAUAUAAGUAGCCAAAUAAAAAAAGCUACAUAAUUUAUAUAAUAAAAUUAUUAGAAUAAAAUGAAUAUUUUUUGGAAAGUCAAAAUAAAAUGAAUAUUAAUUACGCAUAUUAAAAUUUUCUUAAUUUUAAUGAUGAAAUUUUGUAAAUUAUCUUCAAUUUUAAUUACUACGUUUUUAUCUUAUACCUUUAUAAUUAUUUAGAAUUAAUCCACUAAAAAUAAUUUUGCGAUCCCCCAAUAAUUUUAGUAAGUCAUUAUUAACUUUAUUCAAUUAAUUAUUUUAUUUUUUAUUACUUAUCCAAAAAAUAAUUUCAUUGUUUUAUUCUUAUCUCUUUUUUAAAUUAAUUUUAUAAAUUUAAUUCAUACAUAAAAAAAUUACAUAAAUAAAAUAAAUUGAAUAAGCUUAAAACUAAACCAAUUUGGAUUUGGGUGAAUCCGACUCACCUCUUCCUUUUAUUUUUUCUUAUCCAUAAAACAACAAUAUAGAAGUAACGUUCUUUGCAUAUGUUUUAUUUAUAUGUUGUGCAACAUUACGCAAAUUAAGACCUACAAAUGAAAUAUUACUGCACCCUUGGAACCUGCAGCAUUUGCAGAAGUAGUGGUCCAAAUCUAUUUGGAUAAUAUCGAUGAUCUGGUAUAUACCAAAAUGCUCUAUCUUUUCAUCUAGAUUUAAACUUAAGUAUAAGUAAUUUCUUUCUUUCUUUUUCUAUAUUUAAUAUAGAAUAUAAUUAUUCUAUUUUUAUAAUUAACUCUAUCUAAUUAUCCAAAAACAGAAGUAAUGACAAGAGAGAGAGCCUUUCAUGAAAACUAUAAUAGUAAAUAAAAGAGGGAAUGGCAUAAUUAGAAAUAGAUGAGACCCCAAAGUUCAAUCUCUUCCAAUCUUUAUUGGUUAGCAAGCUUAACAUGAUUCUUCUCUUUUUAGACCAUUUCAAUUGUAAGCCCAUAUUCACCUAUCAUGAACUCUUACUCACUGAAUCUCCACUUUCUUAUGGUGACAUGGUCAAAUCCAGAAACAGCUUAAGAUCUUCUUUUUAUAUAGGUUAUAGAUUCCAUCUGCGAAACCCUAAAAUUUGCUUUUGGUUUUCUCAUCUAGCAAUUGUGUGGAAUUUGCUCUUUAUUGACCUUUGGAUAUGGAAGAUUAAUAAUAAAAAAAAAAGACAACUUGAGUCACUAGUCGUGUAUGGUAUCGUAAGAGAAGAUAUACGAGCAUGGAAAUUACAUCCAAAGCCUUGCUUCCCAUAGGUAUAUCCCCUUAAUUUACCAAACUAAAACAGCUGCUCCCUGUUUAAGUUUUUAAGGUGAAUGAAUUUAGAGAGAGAAAGCUUGUGAAAACGAUGAACCAGUUGAGAGAGGAAGAGCAUUUGCUCGGUAUCUUCACUUGUAUUUCAUUUCCUUCCCUUAUGAAAGGCAUAACCCGAGUACAUGAGAGAGACAAAGAUUCAUCAACAUUAAAGAAACAAAACAACCAAUGACGGAGGCGGACACGGCGACGCGCACCACACCACAACACGUGGAUAGUAUACAAAAGCCACAAAACGGCAACGCAGCAAAUGUUAAAAGGAAUAAAGCAUGAAAGCUAAACGGUGCCGCAUUAAUCUUCCCUAAAAUGGAUCACAUGGAACUCCACACGUGACUUCUUCUCCUUCACCAAUUCGAACCCAAUUUUGGCGCGAACCUGCAUAGCUAUCAGAGGGCACAAACAUCGUCGUUAAGACACAACUCAAUUUCAACACCCCCCUUUAAUCAAAUCACGACCAAUCUGCUUCCCUUUGAAAUGCUAUCAUGGCUGAUUCAAACACCAUGUCACACAAUAAGGCUCAAGAACAAUCCAAUAAUUACUGUUUUCAGAGACAUACUCUUCCUUUUUUAUAAGAUAAUUAAUUCCACUAUUUUCAUCAAUAUUAACUUCGAGUUUCUUAAUUAUUAAUCAUUAACCAGUUUUCGGAGACAUACCUUUAGCCAGUUUCUAAUGUAAUGUUGGCACUAUCAUCAGUUUUGAUACUUAAUAUCUUGAUUUUAAACUUCAAAGUAAGAUACUUUAAUUAUAAACACAGUUCACUGCCUCCAAAUAGAAAUCCACUUUAUUAUACAUCAAUAACUUUGUUUGUUUGUCCUAGAAACAAAGCCAGACAAAUAUUGCCACGUCCCCAGACUUGAGGCACAACAGACACCGCACACCUGCAAGAUAAACCCUACAAGCAUGCAAGGCUCAAAACAUAUAUCUUAACCAACUAACUAAACGGGUCAAAUAUAUUUAUGAAAUAGAAUAAUUCUCAAAUUUAUGGUACUGAGAUAAAAUCCUGAACAAACAAUUUAAGGUAACAAAAGGUUCAUAACAUUUAAACAAUUCUGAAGCGAACUAACACCAUAUACUAGCCUAUGAAAUGUCACUCCUUGAAGUUUUUCACGUGUUUGACCAAAUCACAACCUGAAAAAAAAAAAGUGAAGGAAGGAGUGAGUCAAAUAGCUCAGCAAGUGACUAACAUCCCUUCAGCUGGAUUAAGCUUGCACAGAACAUUUAGGCUAAGAACUUUUAUUCUCAUAUAAAUAUCAAAAACAAAAUUUUGGAUAAUCUAAUUCAAAUAACAAAACUAUCUAAAUUUCAAAAUUUUAAAUUAAUGGAUAAAUACGAUUUCACAAUUAUUGCAGAUUGUAAUUGACGUAGGAGCGUCAAGUAUUGUAUUUUAUUAAAUUUAGUUUUUGCUAAUUUAGUUGAUUUAGGAUUUAUUUUCUUUAUUUUAUUUAAAUUAGGAUUCUUUUUUUAUUUUUAUUUUAAUACUUUUAAGAAUUAGUAUUUGAUUAGGAUAGUCAUGUUCUAUUUAAGAAUAGAACACCUAUUUUAUUUAAAUUUCUUAUUAAUUAUUCUAAUUGUAUUAGACAACUAGGAGUAGAGUUUUAUUAGGAUUUGGGCCUAUAAUACUAUAAAUAGGACCCUUAGGCUUAGUUACGAGACAUUCAGAAUUGAGAGUUAAUAAAUAAUAUUUUCUUAAGUAUGAGUGCUUAUUUCUCUAGGCUCUUUUAAAGAGUAAGAGGUUUUAAUAUCUUUGGCCUAACCAACCAAAGUGGGAUUUAGGCUAUUUUUCACCUUAGUGGGGUUUUCAACCUUGCCAAGAUUGGUGAUUCACCUUAGUGGGGUUUUCAACCUCACCACGAUUGGUGUUUUUCAUAACGCCUAGGUGUCUUUACAACGCCCCGGCGUCAGUUUGGUAUCAGAGCGGGAGGAUUAUUAUUCGCUGUAUAAGUUCAGAUUCGUUGUCAAGUUUCGAUACUCCCUGUACGGGUAAUUUUAUUUCUUUAUAGUUUUAUCAUCAUUUUUUUUUUCUACAUCACCAUAGUAAAAUAAAAUGCCGCCAAGACGUCAAAAUCGUCAAAGAGAUGAUCACGAGAUUGAGAUUGCAGAACUACAUCAGCAAAUUCAAGAAUUACAAGAGCAACUCGUAAGACGUGAUGCUCAAAUAAACAAUAGCAACUCUAGUGAUGAAGAGAAUGAUACCAACCCGUUUCAUCAAAAUUUGUCCUAUGAUGAAGAAGUACCUAUUUGUCGCCUGAGAACUGCUGCUGCCAGAGAUUUGAGAAUCAAAGUCGAUAUUCUUGAGUUUGAAGGAAGACUUCAUCCUGAUGACUUCCUUGACUGGCUCUACACAGUAGAAAGAGUUUUUAAGCUUCAAGAUAUUCCCGAUGAAAAACGUGUGAAGCUUGUGGCAAUUAAAUUGAAGAAACACGGUUCUAUUUGGUGGAAAAAUCUCAAAAGACAACGAGAAAGAGAAGACCGCUACAAGAUCAGAACAUGGGAUAAGAUGCGUCGAGAACUAAAGCGUAAGUUCCUUCCUGAGCAUUAUUGACAAGAAAUUUUUAUCAAAUUUCAUAACUUGAGGCAAAAAACAAUGACGGUGGAAGAAUAUACAAUGGAGUUCGAGCAACUUCACAUGAAGUGCGAUGUCCAUGAGCCUAAAGAACAAACUGUAGCUCGUUAUCUUGGGGGUCUUAAUGUUGAAAUUACAGAUGUUGUUCAACUACAACCAUAUUGGAACCUAAAUGAUGUCAUCAGAUUAGCAUUAAAGGUUGAGAAACAACAAUUACGAAAAAGCUCAAUGAGUUCAUCUAGACAGAAAGAUUCCACUUCAAACCGUGGGAGACAGAGUUCGGCAACCAUUCCACCUCCAAAGGUAAACUCUUCCAAAACUCUAAAUCAUAAAGAGACUACUUCUACUCGUGCUCCUAAUGUCAACAAAAAGUGUUUCAAAUGCCAAGGAUUUGGGCAUAUUACUUCUGAUUGUCCAAAUCGAAGAAUUAUCUCUUUAGUUGAAGAAGAAGUCAUGGAAGAACCUAGCCUUGAAGAAGUAGAUGAUGAGCUAGAAAUAUUCAAUAACGAAGAGAUAGAAGAAGUCUCUGCUGACCAUGGAAAAGCUCUGGUUGUACGUCGUAACCUUAACACUGCUAUGAUGACAGAAGAUGAAAGUUGGCUCCGUCAUAAUAUAUUCCAUACAAGGUGCACAUCCCAAGGGAAGGUUUGUAAUGUCAUUAUUGAUAGUGGAAGCUGUGAAAAUGUUAUUGCCAACUACAUGGUAGAAAAGUUGAAACUUCCAACCGAAGUACAUCCUCAUCCUUACAAGCUACAAUGGCUGAGAAAAGGAAACGAAGUUAAGGUAACAAAGUGCUGUUGUGUUCAAUUCUUUAUUGGAAGUAAGUAUGAAGAUGAAGUCUGGUGUGAUGUUAUCCCAAUGGACGCAUGCCACUUGUUGUUAGGACGGCCAUGGCAAUAUGAUCGUCGAGCUCACUAUGAUGGAUACAAGAAUACUUAUUCCUUCAUCAAGGAUGGAGUAAAAAUUAUGCUGACUCCAUUAAAGCCAGAAGACCGACCAAAGAGACAAGAUGAAGAUAAAGCACUCAUCACUGUGCCUAGCUUAAGCAAAGCUUAUUGUGAGUUAAACCAUUUAUGUCUCUUAUUAGUCUCUAAGGAGAAUAAAGUGUCUUCAUCCUUAUCCAAUGAUGGUCAAACAAAAUUGAUCAACCAAAGUUCGGGAAACUUAUCGAGAAGCUUUGUGGACAAUCAUGCCGUUAACAAGACUACAGUUAAGUAUGAUUUUCCUAUCCCUCGAUUAGAUGACAUGUUCAUUGGCUCUAAAGUGUUUUUGAAGAUGGAUUUGAAGAAAAGAGAUCAACAAAUUCGAAUACGACUUGGAGAUGAAUGGAAAACAACUUUCAAAACAAUGGAUGAAUUUGAUCAAAUGGUUGGUAUGGACUAUGACAAUAUAUGGAUCCAGACAUCAACAUGGAGUAUGUCCAGACCUACUCGUCAGAGCCGAGUUUUUCUGACCCGAGGAGAAUGACGCAGGAGCGUCAAGGAUUGUAUUUUAUUAAAUUUAGUUUUUGCUAAUUUAGUUGAUUUAGGAUUUAUUUUCUUUAUUUUAUUUAAAAUAGGAUUCUUUUCUUAUUUUUAUUUUAAUACUUUUAAGAAUUAGUAUUUGAUUAGGAUAGUCAUGUUCUAUUUAAGAAUAGAACACCUAUUUUAUUUAAAUUUUUUAUUAAUUAUUCUAAUUGUAUUAGACAACUAGGACUAGAGUUUUAUUAGGAUUUGAGCCUAUAAUACUAUAAAUAGGACCCUUAGGCUUAGUUACGAGACAUUCAGAAUUGAGAGUUAAUAAAUAAUAUUUUCUUAAGUAGGAGUGCUUAUUUCUCUAGGCUCUUUUAAAGAGUAAGAGGUUUUAAUACCUUUGACCUAGCCAACCAAAGUGGGAUUUUGGCUAUUUUUCACCUUAGUGGGGUUUUCAACCUUGCCAAGAUUGGUGAUUCACCUUAGUGGGGUUUUCAACCUCACCACGAUUGGUGUUUUUCAUAACGCCUAGGUGUCUUUACAACGCCCCGGCGUCAGUAAUGGUCUCCCGUAACAUACUAUGACCAUAUUUAACCCCUAUGGCAUACGUCAUAAUCAUAACAGAAACCACAAUUAACCCUAGUGGCAUGAGUCAUAAAACCAUAAUUAACCCUAGUAGCAUGGAUCAUAAGUAUAUCAGAAGCAAUCAUUGGCUACUUUGAACAGAUAUCACAAGUACCACUAUUCUGUAACCGGUGGUGUGGUUGGGAAAUCGAUAUCUAAUCACAUAAUACAUGUCGACAUGGCCAACGUUUAACCCCCAUUGGCAAGAUCAUAACAUAGCCAAAGGAAGCUUUGACUCAUAUCCUUAUCAACCCAAAACAGUCCUCAUCUCUUCCAGCAAGAUGUUCCUUCUUCAUUCUUGAAGCUUCCAAUGCCAUUCUCUCAUUUUCCCAUGGAAGCUUAAUUUUCUUUCAUUUUCUUUCCUUGUUUUCUUUCCAUUUCCUUUCUCUUCUUGCUUCUUUCCUCUCCCAACUCCUUGUGCACCAAAGUUACAACUUCUAACCCCAAUUUUCAGCAUACCUAAACCCUAGGAGGAGAAAAAAGAAAAAGAGAGAAAGGAAGAAAAAAGCUUGGUUUUGGUGAUUUAAGUAAGGAACGGUAAGAAUUUUGUUUUUGGCUUGAGUAGUUUUUGAAAAUGAGUUAGUGACUUAAAGAAAUGUCUUGUGGCAACAAAGAUUGGCUUGAUUGGAGAAAAAUUGGUAACAUGUAAGCCAAUAAACCCAUGGGUACAUGAAGGACUCAAAGUGGAAAAGGAAAACGGUAAGCAUAACACUAUGUUUUAAAGCCUACGGUUAGUUAAAUAUUGUGAGGAAUUAUGGUUGUUGAAAGGAUUUAUUUGCCUAAGUUGGUUGAAAAUUUUCAAGAUUGUAUGGCAUGUUGUUUGAAAGAAAUGAAAAAGGAAUAUUGUGGAUGGAGGAUUGAGAAACAAAGUAUUGAAAGUUAGAUAGAUAACAAUGCAUGUAAACUAGGAAAUAAUUGAGUGAAAGUGAGAAUGAUUGUUGCUACCAUAUAUGUGGAUUAUGUGUGGAAAUAUAAGAUAGAUUUGGGUGGAAAUUAUUUAGAAAGGUUGAAGUAGACACGUGACAUCAUAAUUAAGUUGCUGGUGAUAUAAUCUAAGGAAUUUCGUAAGCAAUGAUAUAAGUAAUUUUGGUAAAAAUAUAUUAAGAUGUGAGUUAAUUGAAGAUGGUUUCAUGAUAGGAUGAAAAACAUAAAUUUGAGUAAGGAUUAAUUGAUUGAAGUGCUGCAUGUAUACAUAUGUAAUUAAAUAUAUUGAGUUUGUAUUAUUGUUAGGAUGUGCAAAGAUAAUGUUAGAGUACUGUGGUGGCGUGCUGGAGUAAAUAUCGAGCGAUCGGCCAGUGAAAAUAGUUAGAGACACCUCCGAUCAAAUAGCGAUAUAAUAUCCUGCUAUAGUAAAGUGAGUGAAUUGCAUUUCAAAAUCAUUUUGGGAAUGUGACUGCUUUGUAUAAAGCAUUUGAAUGAUUUUAUACAACUUUAUCUUAAAACAAGUGCCUUGAGAACAAGCUUUUGCUAAAUGGUUUUAUAUUGUGAUAUGUGGUUGUUAUUGAUUCAUGCACUAUUUCAUUAUGAUGAUAUAUAUAUAUAUAUAUAUGUUGUGCAUGAUAGUUGAUAUUGUGUAUAAUGACUAUAAUCGUGUGUGUGCACGAUGUGGGGGGAUGCACAGUCGGUGAUGAUGGUGGUGUGGGAGAUGGAUGAUGAUAGUGCUCGUGUGCACGAUAUGGGGGGAUGUACACGAUGAUACUGAUUGUGCACGAUGUGAGGGGAUGUAAAAAUAUUUUCUUAAAUCCUAUCAAGCAAAUUUUUUUAUUUAAAUAUUUUUUAUUUUUUAUUUUUUAAAAACAUUUAAUUUUUUAUACUUUAAUAUAUGUUAAUAUUAAUAUAAUCAUAUUUUGUUAAUUACGAUGAUUCUAAUAGAGAAAUUAAAUUAAAAUUAAGAAAAUUUAAUAUAUUGAAAGUCAUUAUUCAUAAGCUACAUAAUUUAUAUAAGUAGCCAAAUAAAAAAAGCUACAUAAUUUAUAUAAUAAAAUUAUUAAAAUAAAAAGAAUAUUUUUUGGAAAGUCAAAAUAAAAUGAAUAUUAAUUAUGGAAAUUAAAAUUUUCUUAAUUUUAAUAAUGAAAUUUUGUAAAUUAUCUUCAAUUUUAAUUACUACGUUUUUAUCUUAUGCCUUUAUAAUUAUUUAGAAUUAAUCCAUUAAAAAUAAUUUUGCGAUCCCUCAACAAUUUUAGUAAGUCAUUAUUAACUUUAUUCAAUUAAUUAUUUUAUUUUUUAUUACUUAUCCAAAAAAUAAUUUCAUUAUUUUAUUCUUCUCUCUUUUUUAAAUUAAUUUUAUAAAUUUAAUUCAUGCAUACAAAAAUUACAUAAAUAAAAUAAAUUGAAUAAGCUUCAACCUAAACCAAUUUGGAUUUGAGUGAAUCCGACUCAGCUCUUCCUUUUAUUUUUUCUUAUUCAUAAAACGACAAUACUAUUUUAAUUUAAAGAAAAACAUCAAUGAAGUAAUUCUUUGUGCAUAUGUUUUAUUUAUCUAUUGUGCAACGUUACGAAAAUUAAAACCCUAUAACGAAAUAUUACUGCACCUUUGGACCUUGCAACAUUUGCAGAUACAGUGGUUCAGAUCUAUUUGAAUAAUAUUGAUGAUUUGGUAUAUACCAAAAUGCUCUAUCUUUUCAUAUAGAUUUAAACUUAAGCAUAAGCAAUUUCUUUUUUUCUUUUUUUAUAUCUAAUAUAAAAUAUAAUUAUUCUAUUUUUAUAAUUAACUCUAUCUAAUUGUACAAAAACGGAAAAAAUGACGAGACAAAGAGGCUUUCUCUAAAAUUAUAAUAAUAAAAAAAUAAAAUAAUAUAAUUAUUCUAUUCCAUAUGUGAAAUUCCCUGGGAUUUGCUUUUGGUUUUCUCAUCUAACAAUUGUGUGGAAUUUGCUCUUUCUUGACCCUUGGAUGUGGAAGAUUAAUAAUAAAAAAAGACUACUUGAGUCGCUAGUCGUGUAUGGUACCGUAAGAGAGGAUAUACGAGCAUGGAAAUUACACCCAAAGCCCUGCUUCCCAUAGUAUGUCCCCUUAAUUUGCCAAGCCAAAACAGCCCCUCCCUGUUCAAGUUUUUAAGGUGAAUGAAUUUAGAGAGAGAAAGCUGGUGAAAACGAUGAACCAGUUGAGAAAGAAACUUCAUUUGUAUUUCAUUUCCUUCCCUUAUGAAAGGCAUGACCCGAGUACAUGAGAGAGACAAAGAUUCAUCAACAUUAAAGAAACAAAACAGCCAAUGACAACGGCGAACAUGGCGACGCGCACCACACCACAACACGUGGAUAGUAGACAAAAGCCACAAAACGGUAACGCAGCAAAUGUUAAAAGGAAUAAAGCAUGAUAGCUAAACGGUGCCGCAUUAAUCCCCCCUAAAAUGAAUCACGUGGAACUGCACACGUGACUUCUUCUCCUUCACCAAUUCGAACCCCCAUAGCUAUCAGAGGGCACAAACACUGUUGUUAAGACACAACUCAAUUUCAACACUCCCCUUUAAUCAAAUCACGACCAAUCUUCUUCUCUUUUAAUAACAACCAUAUUACGUUCAUGAUGUUGCAACUUUUGCGCCCAAAUGGUUGAAAUGCUAUCAUGGCUGAUUCAAACACCAUGUCACACAAUAAUGCCCAAGAACACACCAAUAAUCGCUGCUUUCAGAGACAUAAUCUUCCUUUUUUAUAAGAUAAUUAAUUCCACUGUUCUAAUCAAUAUUAACUUCGAGUUUCUUAAUUAUUAAUCUUUAGCCAGUUUUCGAAGACAUACCUGCAGCCAGUUUGUAAUGUAAUGUUGGCAAUAUCAUCAGUUUUGAUCCUUAAAAUCUUGGAUUUAAACUUCAAAGUAGGAUCCUUUAAUUAUAAACACAGUUCACUGCAUUCAAAUAGAAAUCCACUUUAUUAAACUUCAAUAACUUUGUUUGUUUGUCCCAGAAACAAGGCCAGACAAAGAUAAAAGUAGCCCAAGUUGUAACUUUGAGGCCUUAACAUUGACGGUAGAUACAAGUUCUACUCAUGAAGCAAACCCCAUAAACUGGAGCUCCAAAUUUCCCAGUUCUCCAAAAACGCUGAAUGCAAAGAUUAUUGCAUUCAUCUUGUGUGCAGCCUGGAUUCGGAAAUGAUUGCUCACACUCUCAGCUCUGUCCCAUCAUGUGCUGAUUGCCUGUAAUCGUAAAACACACGUCUGAUUAAUGAUUAACCUGCACACCAUUGAAAGGCUUAUUUCUUUACAGUUCUAUCCUACUUUUGUUUUUUAAUGCUAAAGGGCUGCAUAGAUUUAGUGAAUAAUGGAAACCUUACCAAAAGAAAGUAACAGAAGCAGUAAAACGGCAGAGAAGGAGAAGGAGAAGCUCUUCAUGGCUUCAAUUUGUUUUGUCUGUGGCAAUGCGUUGGUUCAAGACUGCAGGGACCAUAUGGUAUCUGCUAUUUAGAAGAAGUUGAGUAUGUAAGAUCCAUUGCUUGGAAUUCUAAAUUCUUGUUACUUUUGACAUAAAAGGAAAGAUAUAUGUUGGAUCAAGGUUGUUUUCUUCCAUUAUAACCAACAAAAAUAGUUGUAAAAUUCAUCAUACAUGGAAGUUCAAUUAUUGUGUUUACUCAUACAUGGUCAGACACCUAAUUUCCAAUUAGAAAAAUUAUAACAACUUGUGUCGAGCAUAAGACAGUAGAUUACAAAGAUUCACAAUGACAUGACAACUAAAGCAGACAAAACAAUGUCCAAUGAUCAGGAAGCAAAUAUGGGUCUUAUGUUUCUUAUAACAGAUAUGGUAGAGUGCAUCACCAAAUGCAAAAAUGCCUCUGAUAGAAGACAUGAACUCACUAGAACUGCCAUCAGUAGCACAAUUUUUUUCAUAUUAAAAAUAAAUGUUCAUAGACCUGAAGCUUUCAAAUUGCAUAACAAGAUGGAUUUUGAAAAAAUAAUAAAUGAAUGAGCAAAGGAAUAGAACUUCCAAACAAUGAUUUGGAAGUUCAACUUCAUGCCAGAAAAACAGAGCCAAUUGCAAUUUUACUAAACAAAUAGAACUUCAGCAACCUCGCACUUUCCUGGUCUUUUUAACCUUUUCUUGUUUUCUUUAUUCUAAAAAAAAGAAAUACAGAAAAACCUAUUAAGAUUAGGGCAUUCUUUGUGGAAGAUAAAAACAUAUAAACAUAUUGAUUAAGUUAAAGCUGUUACUGAUAGACUAGCCAAUUAAGGAAUAUCACACAAUAAAAGUUCAAAAUGAUGCAAACACAUACACACACUUUCUCUAUCAUUUUUCUAUUGCUCUCAAAUGAUAGAGAUGAGUUGCUUUUUAUGCAUGCCAGCCAACUUAUCAGGAUACUAUACAUCUCGAUUGAAUAAUAAACUCAUCCCUUUCUGAAUAAACUUAAUUUCAUUAGGGAGACUUUUCAACUCUGGCAUAAUACAUCCACAGUUUAUUUAAAGUGCUUCAAUAAAUCAGGAAAAAGAGGAAUAAAAGAAUUAAGCAACUGAGCUAUUACACUGAAAAGAAAUUGGGAAAAUAAACUCAAUUGAAAGGCCUCAAUAAUGUUCAUGAAAGAAAUUUUAAAAUAAAAUAAAUAUGGUAAACAAAGAGAUACAUUAUAGACAAAACUCAAAAGUUUAGAAAAUGAAAGGAAUGAGUAACAAAUGUUACUAUGUAGAGUGCAGAUGGGAUACCUGAGCCAAAUGAACUUUCUGAGACAUUGAGUUUAGGCGAUAAUGACUUCACCAUCAAUUUUUAUCGAUGGGAUGUGGGAAAUCUUGGCCCAAUCUUUACCUUUCUCCUUUUGGCAACGUUCUGUCAGCAAUGGACACAAGCGAAUGCUUAGAGAAGAAAGGCAGACAGGGAGCCCCUCUGGUGGCAUGGAUUGGAGCUUUGCGCAGUUAGCGACUUCCAAUCGCCGAAUAGAGGUAAGGUGUUGAAGACCUUUGUAGUCCAAAGUUUUGAGAUUUGGAAGACCAUAAAUGUGAAGAUUGGUAAUAGUAGGUGGCAGCAGCUGCUCAUCUGGAAAGAACUCCAUAUCUCCUCCAUUCAUUUUGAAAUAUGUGAGACAGCGGAGUUUGUGCAAUCCCCAUCCCAUUCGACCAGCAAUAAGUUUAUUACAAUUAUCAAUUUCAAGAUAUUCUAAGUUGAAUGGCAAGCCCCCUUCUGGAAAUGACUCAAUCUCUGAACAAUUCGCUACAAUCAAAUAGUGGAGGGAUGGGAGAAGGGAGUGCAUUUGCUCGGGGAGUGACUUUAAAUUUUUGCAAUUGAAGAGAUAAAGCAUUGUCAAAUUAGGGGCAGAUAAUCCUCCUUUGGGAAACGAUACAAAAUUAGGACAGUCGAACAUAUUUAUAGAAUGGAGAGAUGCGAGAUGCUGGUGAGGUUCCUCUAAUGCAGAAAACGACUUGAUGUUUGUACAAUGCACGAAGUUCAAGGUAUUUAGGUUAGGAAAAGAGCCUAAUGGGAAUGAUUCUAGUGAAUCAAGGGCAUUCCACACGUUCAAUUCUUCUAGAGAUGUGUACAAGAGGAUUCUAGAAAAAUCAAACUCACCGCAGUUUUCAAUCUCCAACUUCUUUAAGGAAACAGGUAG